Molecule: ribosomal RNA, 252 nt
Filed under: uncultured prokaryote
Description: partial 16S rRNA
Rfam family: Archaeal small subunit ribosomal RNA
Source: RNAcentral
ACCGGCAGCUCAAGUGGUGGCCAUUUUUAUUGGGCCUAAAGCGUUCGUAGCUGGCUUGAUAAGUCUCUGGGGAAAUCCCGCAGCUUAACUGGGAGGCUUGCUGGAGAUACUAUUAGGCUUGAGGUCGGGAGAGGUUAGGGGUACUCCCAGGGUAGGAGUGAAAUCCUAUAAUCCUGGGGGGACCACCUGUGGCGAAGGCGUCUCACCAGGACGACUCUGACAGUGAGUAACGAAAGCUGGGGGAGCAAACCG